This 74-nucleotide transfer RNA is filed under the name Myxococcaceae bacterium. Its description in RNAcentral is "tRNA-Arg". It matches the Rfam family "tRNA". Rfam says of the family: Transfer RNA (tRNA) molecules are approximately 80 nucleotides in length. Lineage: Bacteria; Pseudomonadati; Myxococcota; Myxococcia; Myxococcales; Myxococcaceae. The record is from RNAcentral.
GCGCGAUUAGCUCAGCUGGAUAGAGCGUUGGCCUCCGGAGCCAAAGGCCACAGGUUCGAGUCCUGUAUCGCGCG